Molecule: long non-coding RNA, 2099 nt
Organism: Scylla paramamosain (green mud crab)
Lineage: Eukaryota; Metazoa; Arthropoda; Malacostraca; Decapoda; Portunidae
Exons: 5
Source: RefSeq, a predicted model, not a curated record
CUCUUUCUCUGGUGGUGGUGAGUGGUGGUGGUAAUUAAAUGAAGGAAUAUUUAGAAGAAGAGGAAGGAACUGAGAAAAUAAGAUCGUAUGGAUUAAUAGUAGUAGUAGUAGUAGUAGUAGUAGUAGCAUACUACUACUACUACAACUACUACUACUACUGCUACUACGACGGCGACGACGACGACGACGACUGCGACUACUACUAAUAAUAAUAUACUUCUAAAUAAUAGGAGUUGCCGAUCCAAAGGCCUUGCUCAGGAGUGAUCCUGUGCUACCUGUACCAUCAACAUCAAGAUCAAGAUUUAUAAUUUGCCUCUCACAUCACUAACCUUGCUAACUGGGGGCUUCCGCUAUGCUAUCCUAACUGAACAAGUUGAAGUUUAUGGGAGCUUGUAACGACAUUGACCGGGCUGUGCUGAAGUGUCUGGAUGCUGAGGGAAGGCAGGUGGGGUGCCCAGAUGAUGGGUCUCCAGUCAUCUGUGUGCAUCAUUACCUGUGCUGACGGCUCCAGGCAUCUUGUGGUGGCUGGCAUACAUGGCAGGCUGGUGGAGGUCGAGUGACUGCUAGCCAGUGCCAAACAAGUGAGGGAGAGGCUAGACGCUGAGGGCUUCCUGGUUUUCGUCCUGCUGCCUAUCAAGAAGAGAGAAGGCUUCCUCAAGUGCCUUAUCACCACCAAACAGUACCAAGAGAUGUGCUCCUGAGAUGCCUCCUCCCGCCAACUGUUGUUUCUUGUAUUUCUUAGCUGUUGCUCUGCUGCUUGUUGUUUUGUCAUGUCCUCAGUUUCCUGGGAACCUUUUGAGUCAUUACUUUGCUGUAUGUUCUCAGUUUAAGCUCUAGGGUCAUUGAUUUAUUAUUUUCAUCAUUGUGUACUCUUAUUGUUCUCUUCUCAGUCAGUUAUGAAGUUCUAGUUACACACUGAUGAAAAUGUUAUUGUAAGUGUUGAAUCAAGUAAUGAGCAUCAUAACACAUUCAUUCCCACUCUAAGAAGAAUUUUUCCUUCAGUCUCAGCUCCUCCACUCUGCUGCCAAUCUAAGAAAGCUAAAUAGAUUCGCAGCAGAUGAGAGAACUUGAGAAUGAGGGAAGAAGCUAAACAGACAACAUUCCUCCCUCAGUCUCAGCUCCUCCACUCUGCUGCCAGUGUAAAAGAUUAUCAACAGAUCAGAGGACUAGAGAGUGAGGGAAGGAGCUGAACAAAGGAAGUGAUGCUUGACUUGCCACCCAGACAGCACACUCCUUCACUUUGUUGUUGUUGUGACGGGUCUGAGCCAAGCACAGUGCAUGGGCAGUGAGGAAGCCAAGUGCUCGUAUGUUACUGCCAUAUAUUGAUAACUUUGGAGGUUGUCUGUUGUUAUUUGAGAGGUUUUUGAAGGUUGUAGAUUUUUAGAUUACUGUCAGAUAGUGUUAGUUUAAGAUUAACUGAUGGUAUUACUUGUAGAUUAAUGUCAGAUGUUUUACAAUUUGGUUCCCUGUGGUUAGUGGUGUACUUCAGAGAUUUUUGCAGUUAUAGUGUUGUUAACUCCUGUAUUUGAUAGAUUAUUUUAAAGUUAGUAAUGAUUAGUCUGAUGUUCAUAACUUGGUGGUUUUGUGGAUUUGUUAGUGUACUUGAGGUUGUCGUAGUGAUACUAUUAAUUGUGUGGGCUGAUUUCAAAAUAUUUCAAGCCUUAUUUGUUUAGUUAAUGAAUAUGUAUUGCUAUUUUCUAUUACCCUCAAGUCUUCCAUAAGGGGACCUGAUGAACUGUAAGCCACACAGUACAAUACAUAUAACAUCUAAGUGAGUUAAAUAUUAGAACCCAUUAUGGAGGACAUGAAGGCAAUGCAAUACAGUACAAUAGAAAACCACAGAGUUAUGAGAAUAGACAUGUGCAGUAGUGACCUAUUAGUACUUGGCUCAGGUCUGGAUGGGAGGAUGCCAGAGAGAAAUGUAUUGGCACUUAGUUAAAGGAAGGAAUAAUAAAUGAAUAGGAGUUAUGAGUGGUAUAUGUGGAUGUCACCAGAAAUCACAAGAUGUACACACAGGAAAAAUCAGUUUAUUGGAUUUUGGAUUUGUUGUAGUUAUGCAUAAAAAUGAGAAAAAUUAAUAAAAACCAAAUAAAUAUCAA